RNAcentral lists this ribosomal RNA (253 nucleotides) under uncultured bacterium. Its description in RNAcentral is "partial 16S ribosomal RNA". It matches the Rfam family "Bacterial small subunit ribosomal RNA", at positions 524 to 776 of the family's 1533-position model. The record is from RNAcentral.
UACAGAGGGUGCGAGCGUUGUUCGGAAUUAUUGGGCGUAAAGGGCGCGUAGGCGGUGCGGUAAGUCUGUAGUGAAAUCUCUGGGCUCAACUCAGAGUCUGCUGCAGAAACUGCCGUGCUUGAGUGUGGGAGAGGUGAGUGGAAUUCCCGGUGUAGCGGUGAAAUGCGUAGAGAUCCGGAGGAACCCCAGAGGCGAAGGCGACGCCCUGGCUCGUACCUGACGCUCAGCCACGAAAGCAUGGGGAGCGAACGGG